UUAGAGGACUGUGGCCCAGAAACCCUUGGGCAGAACCUGCCUGGACUUGCUGAACCAGUAUGGAGAAAAUUCCCAAAGUCAGGGUUGGGUCAUCAUUAGCAACUAAGGAAGAGCAAAACAGAUGAGGACCUUGAGUAGAUAAAGGUUUGAAUAAUCAAAAGUCCAACAGUUGGCUUGUUUUUAUUGAAAUACAAGGAUUGACAAGUUCACUGGGAUAUCAGAAGUGAUACUUGCAUACUUCUAAUUGGCCAGAUCCCAGCCAUCUAGCACAGCCUCACUUAAACCAAAAGAAACGGGUGCAUCCACCCUGUUUUGCAGUUACUCUCCAGGUGUAGUUCUCAUUGCCUUGCUUCUCUUUGGUAUUCUCCCCUCCAUCCCAUACUGCAGAGAGAACCCAGGUACUCUACCACUGAGCUGCACCCCAGCCCUUUUUAUGUUUUAUUUUGAGGCAGGGUCUUACUACUUGCUGAGGCUGGCUUGGAACUUGAGAUCCUUCUGCCUCAGUCUCCUGAAUAGCUAGGAUUCUAGGUAAGCACCCUGCACCCAACAUUUGUUUGGUGUUUUGUUUUGUUUUGUUUUUUUGCAGGGAGCGGGUACCAGGGAUUGAACUCAGGGGCACUCCACCACUAAACCACAUCCCCAGCCGUAUUUUGUAUUUUAUUUUGAGACAAGGUCUCACUGAGUUGCUUACCACCUCGCAGUUGCUGAGGCAGGCUUUGAACUCACAAUCCUCCUGCCUCAGCCUCCCAAGCCGCUGGGAUUACAGAAAUGCGACCAGCACCAGGCAGCAUUUGGUGUUCUUAAUUGCAUCAUGUACAUGAUAAGAAGGAAGAUGAUAAUAGACGGACCGACCAAUGUUAUCUAUUGCUUCAGUAGAUAACACUGGGUCAAAGAAGAGAGGAAUUCCUAAAAUUCAGUCUUUGCCCAACUUUGGUACAUUGUGUAAGUUAUUUUAUCCCUUAUUAUUUUCUUUUUUCUUUUUUGGUGCUGGGGAUUGAACCCCCAGGGCACUUUACCACUGAGCUACAUCCCUACAUGCCCAGUCUUUUCUGUAUUUUAUUUUGAGACAGGGUCUUGCUAAGUUGUAUAGGUCUCACAAGUUGCUGAGGCUGGCUUGAACUUGUGAUCCUCCUGGCCUCAACCGCCCAAAUCAUUGGGAUCACAGGUCUGUGUCAGGUCUCUCCAUCAUGGCUGGCCACUAUUCAUCUUUUUGCAGGGGAGAGUUCUGGGGAAAAUAGUUUUCAAUGGGGAAAACACACUUUUGAAAAUGCUUAACUUAUUAAAUGCUUAUAAUACUGUAGACACAAACUAUCAAGCAAUAUUGCAGUGUUGCCAACUGUAGCAUAAUCUGUAAUAGGGGAAAAUUAGAAAUUUUCUGCAAGAAUAGCAGCUGGGCACAGUGGUUUAUGCCUAUAGUCCUAGCUACCCAGGAGGCUGAGACAGGAGAAUCACUUGAACCCAGGUCUUUAAUACCAGGCUAGGCAACAUAGGGAAACCCUAUCUCAAAAUUUAAAAAAAAAAAAAAAAAACCCUGUGGGCAGGGGGAGCCCAAGAGAGUGUGUGUGUCUAUCUCUCACUGUGGUUUUUUUUUUUUUUUUUUUUUUUUUUGGUAUUAGGGAUUUGGGAAUUUAACCCAGGAGCACUUUACCACUGAGCUACAUCCCCAUAUUUGUUUGUUUGUUUGUUUUGUUACUGGGGAUUGAACCCAGGGGUGCUUAACCACUGAGCCACAUCCCCAGCCCUUUUCAUUUUUUAUUUUGAGACAGGAUCUCGCUAAGUUGUUUAAGGUCUCACUAAAUUGCUGAGGUUGACUUUGAUCUUGAGAUCCUCCUGCCUCAGCCUCCUGAGCCACUGGGAUUAGAUUGAACCCAGGUGUGCCCAGUAUGUGUGUGUGUGUCGGGGGGGUCUUGCUAAAUUCCUAAAGCUGACCUCGAAUUUGUGAUCCUUCUGCUUCAGCCACCCAAGCUGCUAGGACUACAGACAUGUGCCACACACCUGGUUCCAGUGAAGUUUGUAUAGGUAUCAGAAACUAUGAAGGUGAUACAGCCACAUGAAAAAGAGAAUUUAAGUUAUUUGAUUAUUUGAUAUGAUCACAGCAACCCUGGAGUAGUCGGAGAAUCAAAAGUCGGAGGCCAGCUAAGACAACUUAGUGAGAUCCUGUCUCAAAAUAAAAUUAAAAGGGCUGGGAGUGUAGCUCAAUCCCUAGUACCACAAAAAAAGCGGGAGAGAGGAACAUACCCCCACACAUACACACACUUGUCAGUAAGUUUCUCUCCAUACACUUCAAUCUGAAUAAAUGUAUCACAAAAUAAAACAUACAUUUUUUUUCCCCCAGGCUGGCCUCAAACUCCUGGGAUCAAGGCAGCCUCCUUCUUCAGCCUCCCAAGUAGCUGGGCAAAUUCAUGUUUUUUUGUUUUGCAGUACUAGAGAUUGAACCCAGGUGUGCUCAACCACUGAGCUACAUCCCCAACCUUUUUUAUUGGUUUGUUUCUUUUGUAGUUUUGAGACAAGUUCUUGCUAAGCUGCUGAAGCUGGCCUCAAACUUCCAAUCCUCCUGCCUCAGUCUCCCAGUAGCCUGGCUAACUGCGUGUUUUCUGAAUGCACACUGUGUGCCAGAAGCAGCCUAUCAGGCCCACUUGGAAGAGUUUACCACCUGAUGAGGCACUCAUUGGUUGACUCCUCCCUCUGCCAGGGGAGUCCCAGGUCUGGUUCCACCAGCUGUUCAAGCCACUCCUCUUCCCUGUCUUGUUUCCCUGUUGUCGGGAGGAGCCAGGUGUGUGCAAGCUCUACCAUGACCUCUCUGUCUGCAUAUUGUCCUGGCUCCAGUUAGGCCACUUGUCAUACCUGGUCAAGAAAGGUCAAUGUGUGGUUUGUAGCCAAAGAAAAAAGAAGAGGACCUGCCAAACCAAAAUGGGGUACAAAAAGGGGGUCUAGGAAGGGCAUCUGUUCCCACAGGAGAGCCAACACCGGUGGGCACAAGCCCAACUCACACAUGUUUAAAAAUGACAAAAUGCUCUUUUAAAAAUUCCUAUUUCCAGACGAUCUUAAAUAAGAGGGUGGAUUCGUUCUCACAAGGUGUUUGGCCAUAAUAAAUCCUACUUUGAUCACAUGACUGAAGAUGUCACCACUUGGUAAUGGUAAUUAAAAGUUGUUAGUAUUUCAACCACUACAAUCAUAGUAAGUAACGUGUGUAAUGUUUUAAAUCAGGCUACAAGACAAUUUCACAGGUACAAUCACACAUAGACCUCACAGAA
RNAcentral lists this long non-coding RNA (3254 nucleotides) under Marmota monax (woodchuck). The record is from RNAcentral. Lineage: Eukaryota; Metazoa; Chordata; Mammalia; Rodentia; Sciuridae.